RNAcentral lists this ribosomal RNA (326 nucleotides) under uncultured eukaryote. RNAcentral describes it as "partial 18S ribosomal RNA". It matches the Rfam family "Eukaryotic small subunit ribosomal RNA", at positions 1470 to 1796 of the family's 1831-position model. The record is from RNAcentral.
CCCUUAGAUGUUCUGGGCCGCACGCGCGCUACACUGAAGGGAUCAGCGUGUUUUCCCUUCCCGAGAGGGACGGGUAACCCGCUGAACCCCCUUCGUGGUAGGGAUCGGAGCUUGCAAUUGUUCUCCGUGAACCAGGAAUUCCCAGUAAGCGCAAGUCAUAAGCUCGCGUUGAUUACGUCCCUGCCCUUUGUACACACCGCCCGUCGCUACUACCGAUUGAACGUUUUAGUGAGGUAUUUGGACUGGGCCUUGGGAGGUUUCGGCCUCCCUUGUUGCUCGGAAAGACUCCCAAACUUGAGCGUUUAGAGGAAGUAAAAGUCGUAACA